Molecule: long non-coding RNA, 520 nt
Filed under: Felis catus (domestic cat)
Lineage: Eukaryota; Metazoa; Chordata; Mammalia; Carnivora; Felidae
Description: lncRNA (ENSFCAG00000048285.1)
Source: RNAcentral
UUUCAGAAAUGUUUACCUGAUCAAGAUUGUCAUUGAAAAUACAUUCAUAUCUCUUCAUGCAUCCAGGUCAUUUCACUGAAUGCAACUCUACCUGGAUGACUGAGUGGUGUGGACUCUUCAUUUCAAACCCUGGCCCUGGCAUAAAGUCCAUUACUGUCUCUUCAGGCCAACGUGCAAUUUUGUUGUUAUUGUUGUCAUUGAUAAUGAGUGAAUGGGUGAACAGAGAGCUGGCUUUUAUUGAAAGCAGAAAAAAGAAUCUCAGUAAGAGUAAACAGCCUCAAAUCUUAUGAGUCAAUUUUGUGACAGUCUGUCCCUUGCUUCUUCGCUUUGGGUAAGUUUUAUUCUUUAAUUCUUUGCCAUUUCCUAAAUGAGGAGAUACAGCAAUCAUAGCUCAGCAAAUUGCUAGACAAGACAACGUAUGAUCUUCUUUGGCUCACAUUAAUGGAUGGAUGGUUUGACUGAAGCCAUCACUAUUGUGACCUUAGCUACAGCUUCAACACGCUUCUGGAGGACAGAGCAG